CUUUGUAUGAAAGAUAUUUUAAGUUCAACCCCUUUGACUAAGUUAACAGAUAAACAUUUACAAUAAAAUAUAGAAAAAGGGUCGCCGACACCAUCUCGAAAACCUUGACAAGAAAGUGAUUUCUGACGGUUUUUGUCAACGAACUGUACAGUGAUUAUUAUAAAACGCACAACGAACGCGACACAUUUGGUGGAACGAACAAUACAGUAAGAGAAAAUUUAUUUUGUAUGAUAUUGCGUUUAUUCUAAGUUCUAGGGCACAUUUGAAGGCACG
This 273-nucleotide long non-coding RNA is filed under the name Mytilus galloprovincialis (Mediterranean mussel). Lineage: Eukaryota; Metazoa; Mollusca; Bivalvia; Mytilida; Mytilidae. The record is from RNAcentral.